GCCUAUAUAGCUCAGUUGGUAGAGCAAUUGAUUUGUAAUCAAUAGGUCCCGAGUUCGAAUCUUGGUAUAGGCACCA
This 76-nucleotide transfer RNA is filed under the name Hyphomicrobiales bacterium. RNAcentral describes it as "Rhizobiales bacterium tRNA-Thr". It matches the Rfam family "tRNA". Rfam says of the family: Transfer RNA (tRNA) molecules are approximately 80 nucleotides in length. The record is from RNAcentral. Lineage: Bacteria; Pseudomonadati; Pseudomonadota; Alphaproteobacteria; Hyphomicrobiales.